Molecule: long non-coding RNA, 250 nt
Organism: Empidonax traillii (willow flycatcher)
Lineage: Eukaryota; Metazoa; Chordata; Aves; Passeriformes; Tyrannidae
Exons: 3
Source: RefSeq, a predicted model, not a curated record
GGACGAGAUGCCAGCAGAGUCACCACCUUCCCAGUCACCCCAACAGGUUUUUGGUACAGACCAUCAAAGACCUGCUCUGCCAUCUGCAGUGGGAGGAUAUUUUGAUGGCAAGGAAGUGCAGGCUUGCCUGGGACCCACUGGUGAAUUCCGACCCCCACCACUCUGCAGUGGGUCUGCAUGUCAGGGAGAUGCGCCACCAGUUGACCCCCUCCCAUUCCCCACGGGCAAUCCACCUGCUUGGGAUGCUCAG